AGAAAAAAAUUGAGCAAAGUAAUAAACCUCGGGGGUCUUCUGUGUACACAGACCCAGGCGCCGAGGUCUCAGGGUAAAUGCCUGGAAAGUUCACGUCUUAUCUGAAUUCUUGUUGCUGUCUGUAAAUCAGACACACAACUUCAGAUAAAGCUCAUCUCCUGCUGUCCAGACUUGGCACUCAACCCAGGAGUCAAGGAACCCCAAAAGACAGGGGGAAUUUCCGUGGGUCUUUUAGAUGGUGAAAAAGGCACUGGGAGAGUGAGCUGCAGGGCCAGGGUGGCCUCGUGGUAGGAAGUCACUCUGGGACCAGGAAAAAAGCUCCUGCAAUAAUCUCUCUGUGACCUGAAAGGGCCCAACUUGAAGUGGACUGAAUGCAGAGCCGGCAUGAUUUCCUGAAGGAUUAAGUGUGGAAUGUGAUUGGAAGGAGAGGUCAAGGACUCUUCUCCUCUUCAGAACUCUUCACGCUCCUCAUAAACCUGCCGUCUUUAUAGUCAUGUAAGUACCCAAGCACCUACUAAAUUACCUUCGGCCCAUACGUCUUCUCACCCUGGCCACAAGUUCUUCUGGAAGUCUAUACUGCAUGCUGUCUUGUGUUCACCAUAGCUGUUUCCUCCCUGGAGAGGUAGCCUCUCAUUCUGGGGACAACGAGGAAGCCAACUAGCAUGUAGACCCACAGAAGAUCCAUCAUCACCAAGACCUGUAACUCUACUUGUUCUAUCCAAAGGAGACACAUUAGAGAGGAAAGACAGUCCAGUGGUUGGCUCCCUCCAUCCUGAAAUAGACCCAAGGUGAGGAGAAAACUUCCUGAGCCUCCCGGAAAGCCCUGCUCCCAGUCGACAUUAAGACACACAUGGCUGCAUCUCUGUCAGUCACACUAUUUGCAGCAAACUCUAUUAUGAUGUCCUGUUCACCCUCUGUCACAGCAGGUUCUAGAGAGCAUGCAGUUUAGCCUAAGCUUGAUAACUACUUGAAUAAUACGAUCAAUAAAAAUAAUCAAUACAGUCACCUCCUGGUGCCUCACUUCUUGUUAGCAGAAGAAAAUGACAAGGACUCCACCACAGUGCCUGAGUCGACAGGAAGCACUGUUUGUAACAUUAUAGAGCUGUCAAUCAGUCACACGUAUCUGACCACCUCAGAUCCAAAGAGUUCCACGGGCCACCUCGAUCCUCAGCGCUGCCGGGAUCCAGCAGCGCUCGCUACAAAGCUAGCGUUUUUUUCUGCACGGUUUUGAAGUCUGCUCCACAGGAGAUUUCACUGAAGGAAGAGGCAGACAGCGUGGCUGCUUCCCCAUGAGGUAAAUAUUGUGUUAAGAUAAUUGUUAACUUUGGAGCGAGCCCCACUGCACGGCGGGUUUAACUGCCCCAAACCAUACAAACCUCUCUAAUUACUUGGCUCUCCCACCACCACACCACAAGCCUUCGGAGAACAAAACACGUAGACAUGAGAUCAGUCUCUGCUUUGUGGACAAACCCCGGAUCCCACGCAAGGGAGAGGAUGGGAAUCCUUCUCUAUUCAAGUACAGAGAGAACAGACGAACCCUGUGCCCUAAGAACUGGAGAGAGAAACUUCUUUUGUGGACAAUGACCAACACUUCUUACUUCCCGCUCACAUAG
Peromyscus maniculatus bairdii (prairie deer mouse) is the source of this 1613-nucleotide non-coding RNA. NCBI's taxonomy places the organism in Eukaryota, Metazoa, Chordata, Mammalia, Rodentia, Cricetidae. The record is from RefSeq and is a predicted model, not a curated record.